This 253-nucleotide ribosomal RNA is filed under the name uncultured bacterium. RNAcentral describes it as "partial 16S ribosomal RNA". It matches the Rfam family "Bacterial small subunit ribosomal RNA", at positions 524 to 776 of the family's 1533-position model. The record is from RNAcentral.
UACGUAGGGUGCGAGCGUUGUCCGGAAUCAUUGGGCGUAAAGCGCACGUAGGCGGCUUGCCAAGUCGGACGUGAAAUCCCUCAGCUCAACUGAGGACGUGCACCCGAAACUGGCGAGCUUGAGUACUGAAGAGGAUCGCGGAAUUCCCGGUGUAGAGGUGAAAUUCGUAGAUAUCGGGAGGAACACCAGUGGCGAAGGCGGCGAUCUGGGCAGAUACUGACGCUGAGGUGCGAAAGCGUGGGGAGCAAACAGG